Molecule: ribosomal RNA, 207 nt
Filed under: uncultured bacterium
Lineage: Bacteria
Description: partial 16S ribosomal RNA
Rfam family: Bacterial small subunit ribosomal RNA
Source: RNAcentral
CGCGCAGGCGGUCGUGUAAGUCGAAUGUGAAAGCCCCCGGCUCAACUGGGGAGGGUCAUUCGAUACUGCUCGACUCGAAGGCAGGAGAGGGAAGCGGAAUUCCCGGUGUAGUGGUGAAAUGCGUAGAUAUCGGGAGGAACACCAGUGGCGAAGGCGGCUUUCUGGCCUGUUCUUGACGCUGAGGCGCGAAAGCUAGGGGAGCAAACG